AUUGAACGCUAGCGGCAUGCCUAACACAUGCAAGUCGAACGAGCGGCGGACGGGUGAGUAAUGUAUGGGAACCUGCCCGGUAGCGGGGGAUAACUACUGGAAACGGGGCUAAUACCGCAUACUAUUGGAGCGACCGAUAUGGGAUUAGCUAGUUGGUGGGGUAAAGGCUCACCAAGGCGACGAUCCCUAGCUGGUCUGAGAGGAUGACCAGCCACACUGGGACUGAGACACGGCCCAGACUCCUACGGGAGGCAGCAGUGGGGAAUUUUGGACAAUGGGGGAAAGCCUGAUGCAGCCAUGCCGCGUGUAUGAUGAAGGCCUUAGGGUUGUAAAGUACUUUUGGCAGAGAAGCGGUAUCUGCAGAAUAAGCACCGGCUAACUACGUGCCAGCAGCCGCGGUAAUAC
RNAcentral lists this ribosomal RNA (405 nucleotides) under uncultured bacterium. Its description in RNAcentral is "partial 16S ribosomal RNA". It matches the Rfam family "Bacterial small subunit ribosomal RNA", at positions 30 to 526 of the family's 1533-position model. The record is from RNAcentral.